This 753-nucleotide ribosomal RNA is filed under the name Rhizophagus cf. intraradices HG-2010. Its description in RNAcentral is "eukaryotic LSU rRNA". It matches the Rfam family "Eukaryotic large subunit ribosomal RNA", at positions 38 to 648 of the family's 3401-position model. Lineage: Eukaryota; Fungi; Glomeromycota; Glomeromycetes; Glomerales; Glomeraceae. The record is from RNAcentral.
GCAUAUCAAUAAGCGGAGGAAAAGAAAAUAACAAUGAUUCCUCUAGUAACUGCGAGUGAAGAGGGAAAAGCUCAAAUUUUAAAUCUGUUAGGUUUACCUAACCGAGUUGUAAUUUGAAGCGUUUUCUGCGAAUUUGGUUAGUCCAAAUCCUUUGGAAUAAGGUAUCAUGGAGGGUGAGAAUCCCGUUCGGUUAACCAAAGCGCUUUACGAUACGCUUUCAAAGAGUCAAGUUGUUUGGGAUUGCAGCUUAAAAUGGGAGGUAAAUUUCUCCUAAGGCUAAAUAUUGGCUAGAGACCGAUAGCGAACAAGUACCGUGAGGGAAAGAUGAAAAGAACUUUGAAAAGAGAGUUAAACAGUACGUGAAAUUGUUGAAAGGGGAACGAUUAAAGUCAGUCGUACCUACGAGUAAUCAACCUACUCGAGUGCGAUUUUGUGGGUAUGUUAGAGUUUAAACCUUCAUGCUUACAAAUUGGUGCUCUUUGGGCGUACUUUCUCGUAUGGUAGGUUAACAUCAAUUUCGAUCGUUAUAAAAUGACUGGAGGAAUGUAGCUUCGAUCUCGGUUGAAGUGUUAUAGCCUUUGGUAGAUGUAAUGAUUGGGAUUGAGGAUUGCAACGGAUACCCUCUGGGCUAUUCGUCUGAUCUCUGGAAGUUACCAUGUGUCGAAAGCGUGCUUACGAUAUUAAGGUUGACGGCCAAUAGGUUAGAACGUGAUUAAAUUCGUUAAGGAUGUUGACGUAAUGGCUUUAAACGAC